UUCUCUAACACCACUCUUCUCUUCAUCAUUUCGCAUAUCUAUACAUUUUUCUAGGGUUUAUGUUCCAACGACGGUUUAUGUUGCCGGAGAAUGCGAAGACGGAACAGGUAAAGGCGAGUUUGGAGAACGGCGUUCUGACUGUGACAGUUCUCAAGGAGCCGGAGGGUUUUGGAAAGAAGUAAACUGUUAAUACAAGAAUCAAGAUCCUUGUUUAGUGCCUAAUCGCUACCAUUAAUACUCUCUUAAUAUGUCAUCACUCAAAGGGGUUCACAGCUACAGUCUACAGAGGCGAUGGCGGUCACAACAAAGCUACUCAGUCUGCAGUUCCUCCAUCGGCCGCCCAAGGCUCGAAAUACCUUACUUCUCUUGCCCAAACUGACUCCUUCACUGUCUUUCUCUGUCCUGAAUCCCUCAGUCGUCGUCCUCAGAAAUUUCUCCCGCACUCGUCCAUCCAUCCCCCUGAGAACUACAAAUAUGGGUCAGAUCCAGUAUUCCGAGAAAUAUUUUGAUGAUACUAAUGAGUAUCGUCAUGUGGUUCUUCCUCCAGAAGUGGCCAAUCUGCUUCCCAAGAAUCGUCUUCUAUCUGAGAUUUCAAGUUAUUAACAGAGAAGGGGAUUUGGCUUAAAUAGCUAUAAUGGCUCUCGAUGGUGCCUCUAGAUGUCAAUAUAGUAGUUGGGACAAAGUUACAAGCUAUAAUAACUCAAAUGGCAGUUGAAAUCCUAGAAAGGCAUGCUGUUGUACAAGGCAUACCUCUAGUUCAAGUCUCAGACAAACACUUUUGGUUUUCCUGGCCUAAAUUAGUACUCCAUUUAAUUCAUCUAACUCUCUUUCAGAAUGCAUUCGAGCUUAAUUACUUCUUCUAGAUAUGGUAUGAGUUUGGGUUGAGGUCCUUCCUUCAUAAGAACUUUAAACUUCAAAUAUUGAGAGUUAUUGUCGGGAUAGGGACACAGUUUCUGUGCAGUUACAUAACUCUUCCACUAUACGCACUUGUGACACAGGUUGUUAUUUACUUGCAUUUAAAAAAAAUCAUAUAAAUUGAUAUUCUUGUGUAGCCAUCAUUUCUCCAGAGAUGCCUACGGUACAAAGUACAGGCAAAGCACAAAAGGAGUUACAGAAGACUUUCCUUGCCCGUUCUGUUUGGCCAAAUGUGCUAGUUUUAAGGUUUAUCAAUAUGUUUUAGUAACUGAUUUAAGUAGAGAAGUGGUUGGAAGAUGAAAGAGGAGUCAUAUCUCUAUAGGAGUAGUUAUUGGAUUGUUGUUUUCUUUAUUGACACUCUUGUGUAUCAAAUAUCAAAGAUUGUUUUAUGAUUUAAAGUCUUAAUAGAUGAA
Impatiens glandulifera is the source of this 1328-nucleotide long non-coding RNA. RefSeq lists it as uncharacterized. The record is from RefSeq and is a predicted model, not a curated record. The transcript is spliced from 11 exons. NCBI's taxonomy places the organism in Eukaryota, Viridiplantae, Streptophyta, Magnoliopsida, Ericales, Balsaminaceae.